ACACACACAUCCGCCCGGGUACUACGAGCACAGCUUAAAACCCAAAGGACUUGGCGGUGUCUCAGACCCACCUAGAGGAGCCUGUUCUAGAACCGAUAACCCCCGUUAAACCUCACCACUUCUUGUUUUCCCCGCCUAUAUACCGCCGUCGUCAGCUUACCCUGUGAAGGCUUAACAGUAAGCAAAAUGGGUCCACCCAAAAACGUCAGGUCGAGGUGUAGCAUACGAAGUGGAAAGAAAUGGGCUACAUUUUCUAUACAAUAGAAUACUACGAAUGAUGUCCUGAAACAAACAUCUGAAGGUGGAUUUAGUAGUAAAAAGCAAACAGAGCGUCCUUUUGAACUAGGCUCUGAGACGCGCACACACCGCCCGUCACUCUCCCCCCUCUAUACCCAAAUAAUACAUAAUAAACCACACAAAACCCACGGGGAGGCAAGUCGUAACAUGGUAAGUGUACCGGAAGGUGCCCUUGGAGUAAU
This 479-nucleotide ribosomal RNA is filed under the name Leiocassis poeciloptera. RNAcentral's name for it is "partial 12S ribosomal RNA". It matches the Rfam family "Bacterial small subunit ribosomal RNA", at positions 859 to 1533 of the family's 1533-position model. Lineage: Eukaryota; Metazoa; Chordata; Actinopteri; Siluriformes; Bagridae. The record is from RNAcentral.